GCAUAUCCANUAAGCGGAGGAAAAGAAACCAACAGGGAUUGCCUCAGUAACGGCGAGUGAAGCGGCAACAGCUCAAAUUUGAAAUCUGGCCUCUUUGGGGUCCGAGUUGUAAUUUGUAGAGGAUGUUUCGGGUACCGCCUCGGUCUAAAUUUCUUGGAACAGAAUGUCAGAGAGGGUGAGAAUCCCGUCUUGGACCGGCGGUAGGGCCCAUGUGAAACUCCUUCGACGAGUCGAGUUGUUUGGGAAUGCAGCUCAAAAUGGGUGGUAUAUUUCAUCUAAAGCUAAAUAUUGGCCAGAGACCGAUAGCGCACAAGUAGAGUGAUCGAAAGAUGAAAAGAACUUUGAAAAGAGAGUUAAACAGUAUGUGAAAUUGUUGAAAGGGAAGCGCUUGCAACCAGACUUGAGCGCGGCGGUUCCCCCUUCCUUUUGGUUGGGUUACUCCGUCGUGUCCAGGCCAACAUCGGUUCUGGGGGUCGGUUAAAGGCUUGGGGAAUGUACCUACGUCUUCGGGCGUAGACUUAUAGCCCCGAGUGUCAUGCGACCUCCCGGGACCGAGGAACGCGCUUCGGCUCGGAUGUUGGCGUAAUGGUUGUAAGCGGCCCGUCUUGAACCACGGACC
Molecule: ribosomal RNA, 619 nt
Filed under: Exophiala sideris
Lineage: Eukaryota; Fungi; Ascomycota; Eurotiomycetes; Chaetothyriales; Herpotrichiellaceae
Description: eukaryotic LSU rRNA
Rfam family: Eukaryotic large subunit ribosomal RNA
Source: RNAcentral